AAAGCGUGGGUAGCAAACAGGAUUAGAUACCCUGGUAGUCCACGCCGUAAACGCUGUCUACUUGGAGGUUGGGGUUUUAGAUUUUGGCUUUCGGCGCUAACGCAUUAAGUAGACCGCCUGGGGAGUACGGCCGCAAGGUUAAAACUCAAAUGAAUUGACGGGGGCCCGCACAAGCGGUGGAGCAUGUGGUUUAAUUCGAUGCAACGCGAAGAACCUUACCUACUCUUGACAUCCAGCGAAGCCUUUAGAGAUAGAGGCGUGCCUUCGGGAGCGCUGAGACAGGUGCUGCAUGGCUGUCGUCAGCUCGUGUUGUGAAAUGUUGGGUUAAGUCCCGCAACGAGCGCAACCCUUAUCCUUGUUUGCCAGCACGUAAUGGUGGGAACUCCAGGGAGACUGCCGGUGAUAAACCGGAGGAAGGUGGGGACGACGUCAAGUCAUCAUGGCCCUUACGAGUAGGGCUACACACGUGCUACAAUGGCAGAUACAGAGGGCAGCGAGACAGCGAUGUUUAGCGAAUCCCUUAAAGUUUGUCGUAGUCCGGAUUGGAGUCUGCAACUCGACUCCAUGAAGUCGGAAUCGCUAGUAAUCGUGGAUCAGAAUGCCACGGUGAAUACGUCCCCGGGCCUUGUACACACCGCCCGU
This 642-nucleotide ribosomal RNA is filed under the name uncultured bacterium. RNAcentral describes it as "bacterial SSU rRNA". It matches the Rfam family "Bacterial small subunit ribosomal RNA", at positions 756 to 1397 of the family's 1533-position model. The record is from RNAcentral.